This 1495-nucleotide long non-coding RNA is filed under the name Lepisosteus oculatus (spotted gar). Its description in RNAcentral is "lncRNA (ENSLOCG00000021704.1)". The record is from RNAcentral. Lineage: Eukaryota; Metazoa; Chordata; Actinopteri; Semionotiformes; Lepisosteidae.
GAGGGGGUGUGGAUAUGAAGUAACACAGCUUCUGGGUUUUAUCAUCAGCCAUGAAAACAUCGCUGUGCUUCAGCCCUCAGUCACAUUUGACCCAGAGCCCUCAAAGGACUAAGAUCAUCCAGAGAGGGCUCCAGCUCUGCAGAAAUCUCCCACUCUUUCCUGAACGCGUGCCGCUCCUCAGCAGAGUUUGUUCAGGGAACACUGCGGGUAUCCCACCUCAGGCAGUCGGGAUUGUGUGCAGGGUGGAGUAUCGUCAGGUCAUUGGAACGGCCCCAAGGCAUGUCAGGGGGCGUUGCCCAAGGGUCAAAGGUUAGGCUCAGGUGGAGGGUGUUUGGGAGGUGCCAUGCUGAAGCUGGAGGCAUGCUUUCUUUUGCUGCUGCGUUGCAUGGAGAGAUGAGUUGUUAUCGCUUUUAAUUAAAUUGAAUUGAAUUAAAUUCUCUUUCUAGAAAAGGCCGGGUGAGACAGUCGGAUGAAUCAACGACUAACUAGCAAUCGGUCACCAUGGGCCGGGCGGUCUGUGUUUUGUUUGUAACUCCUCUCGUGUUCUCAUGCUCUUUUAUGGCGUUCUCGCUGUGGAAUUGAGUCCGGGCAACAAGGACUCAGACACGCCAGGGUCUUCCUCGGCGAUGGCUAGGGAGUGGGCCUUGUUGCCUGACUUGCUGCCCAGUGCACAUCCGUGUGUGUGCGAGAAAACUUCCCUGCGCUCCAGACGAAGGAAUGCGUGUGUGGUUGGUGGUGUCUGAGUCGUGUGCUGAGGCGUGGCACGGCUGGAGGGAAAGAAAAACACACAGAGAGCCGCCAGGCUUUGCCAGGUACCCACCUGUGUGCCCACAGACAAUCAGACAACAACACAGGCCCCGGCGCAGCCCCGCAGGCGGGCAGACAGCCAGGGAGGACUGUGGGACCGUCUGGAGCGGCAGGCCUGGGGGUAAGGAGGGGUGAGAGCCCUGACUGAGUUCAGCGAGGUCGGCCAGUUCAGCACUCUUUGCACUCCAGAAAUGUCCCAGCCCUCCGUCUGGAAUGACUCGCCGCGUUGCUGUUGUUGUUUUCAUCUCCCUUCCUGUCUUUCAGGACAACUCUUGAAGGCGAGGAAUGAGCAGCGCAGAGACGCGCUAGAAAAUUCGCCACCACCUUUGUGUUUUCGCCACACAGCUCUCCACUCGAUCAUCUGGUGUGCGACUAGAGUUUCAGACACCGUGGCUGUAUUUCUGCAUGGGGAAAUGGAGGGAGUCUUUCACUGCAGUGUUCUCCACAACGCAGCGCUGGGUCUCUUUCUUUUUCAAGGGCUUCUAGCUGGGGGUGGUCCAGGCCCGGUUCUGGAGGGCUGGCAUGUCUUUGGGUGUUCAUUCCAACCCAGCUCAUAAUAAUCCCAAACCAACUUGCAAAACCUUCAUUGGAUAAAUCUACAAACCCCUCCCAGCUCCUCAGGUGCAGCAGCUUUAAAGAGAACCUAGAGAACCUGCAGUCACUGGGCCCCCUGAUGUUCAGCUGCUGG